Molecule: ribosomal RNA, 295 nt
Filed under: uncultured bacterium
Lineage: Bacteria
Description: partial 16S ribosomal RNA
Rfam family: Bacterial small subunit ribosomal RNA
Source: RNAcentral
UGGGGAAUCUUCCACAAUGGACGCAAGUCUGAUGGAGCAACGCCGCGUGAGUGAAGAAGGUUUUCGGACCGUAAAGCUCUGUUGUUGGUGAAGAAGGAUAGAGGUAGUAACUGGCCUUUAUUUGACGGUAAUCAACCAGAAAGUCACGGCUAACUACGUGCCAGCAGCCGCGGUAAUACGUAGGUGGCAAGCGUUGUCCGGAUUUAUUGGGCGUAAAGCGAGCGCAGGCGGAAGAAUAAGUCUGAUGUGAAAGCCCUCGGCUUAACCGAGGAAUUGCAUCGGAAACUGUUUUCUU